This 370-nucleotide ribosomal RNA is filed under the name uncultured organism. Its description in RNAcentral is "bacterial SSU rRNA". It matches the Rfam family "Bacterial small subunit ribosomal RNA", at positions 526 to 896 of the family's 1533-position model. The record is from RNAcentral.
CGUAGGGUGCGAGCGUUAAUCGGAAUUACUGGGCGUAAAGCGUGCGCAGGCGGUUUUGUAAGACAGAUGUGAAAUCCCCGGGCUCAACCUGGGACCUGCAUUUGUGACUGCAGGGCUAGAGUACGGUAGAGGGGGAUGGAAUUCCGCGUGUAGCAGUGAAAUGCGUAGAUAUGCGGAGGAACACCGAUGGCGAAGGCAAUCCCCUGGACCUGUACUGACGCUCAUGCACGAAAGCGUGGGGAGCAAACAGGAUUAGAUACCCUGGUAGUCCACGCCCUAAACGAUGUCAACUGGUUGUUGGGUCUUCACUGACUCAGUAACGAAGCUAACGCGUGAAGUUGACCGCCUGGGGAGUACGGCCGCAAGGUUG